CCCUAUGGGGCGCAGCAGUAGGGAAUCUUCCACAAUGGGCGAAAGCCUGAUGGAGCAACGCCGCGUGAGUGAGGAAGUAUUUCGGUAUGUAAAGCUCUAUCAGCAGGGAAGAAAAUGACGGUACCUGACUAAGAAGCCCCGGCUAACUACGUGCCAGCAGCCGCGGUAAUACGUAGGGGGCAAGCGUUAUCCGGAUUUACUGGGUGUAAAGGGAGCGUAGACGGAGGAGCAAGUCUGAUGUGAAAAUCCGGGGCCCAACCCCGGAACUGCAUUGGAAACUGUUUAUCUAGAGUGUCGGAGAGGCA
Molecule: ribosomal RNA, 305 nt
Filed under: uncultured bacterium
Lineage: Bacteria
Description: bacterial SSU rRNA
Rfam family: Bacterial small subunit ribosomal RNA
Source: RNAcentral